This 528-nucleotide ribosomal RNA is filed under the name Lactobacillus sp. RNAcentral's name for it is "bacterial SSU rRNA". It matches the Rfam family "Bacterial small subunit ribosomal RNA", at positions 56 to 541 of the family's 1533-position model. Lineage: Bacteria; Bacillati; Bacillota; Bacilli; Lactobacillales; Lactobacillaceae. The record is from RNAcentral.
UGCAGUCGAGCGAGCUGAAUUCAAAGAUNCCUUCGGGNUGAUUUGUUGGACGCUAGCGGCGGAUGGGUGAGUAACACGUGGGCAAUCUGCCCUAAAGACUGGGAUACCACUUGGAAACAGGUGCUAAUACCGGAUAACAACAUGAAUCGCAUGAUUCAAGUUUGAAAGGCGGCGUAAGCUGUCACUUUAGGAUGAGCCCGCGGCGCAUUAGCUAGUUGGUGGGGUAAAGGCCUACCAAGGCAAUGAUGCGUAGCCGAGUUGAGAGACUGAUCGGCCACAUUGGGACUGAGACACGGCCCAAACUCCUACGGGAGGCAGCAGUAGGGAAUCUUCCACAAUGGACGCAAGUCUGAUGGAGCAACGCCGCGUGAGUGAAGAAGGUUUUCGGAUCGUAAAGCUCUGUUGUUGGUGAAGAAGGAUAGAGGCAGUAACUGGUCUUUAUUUGACGGUAAUCAACCAGAAAGUCACGGCUAACUACGUGCCAGCAGCCGCGGUAAUAGAUCGGAAGAGCACACGUCUGAACCUCCA